AAACUCAAAGGAAUUGACGGGGGCCCGCACAAGCGGUGGAGCAUGUGGUUCAAUUCGACGCAACGCGAAGAACCUUACCGGGGUUUGAACUGUAUGGGACAGCUGCAGAGAUGCAGUUUUCCUUCGGGACCCAUAUAGAGGUGCUGCAUGGCUGUCGUCAGCUCGUGUCGUGAGAUGUUGGGUUAAGUCCCGCAACGAGCGCAACCCUCGCCUCCUGUUGCCAACAGAUAAUGCUGGGCACUCUGGAGAGACUGCCGGUGACAAACCGGAGGAAGGUGGGGAUGACGUCAAGUCCUCAUGGCCUUUAUGCCCCGGGCUACACACGUGCUACAAUGGUCGGUACAAAGGGUUGCAAUACCGUGAGGUGGAGCUAAUCCCAAAACCGAACUACCCACGUUACGGUAGUUGGUAG
This 412-nucleotide ribosomal RNA is filed under the name uncultured Acidobacteriota bacterium. Its description in RNAcentral is "bacterial SSU rRNA". It matches the Rfam family "Bacterial small subunit ribosomal RNA", at positions 897 to 1311 of the family's 1533-position model. The record is from RNAcentral. Lineage: Bacteria; Pseudomonadati; Acidobacteriota.